UUGGUUUCUAACUUAAAUUCCAAGAAGUGUGCAAAUUUUGAAUUAGAAUCAUCGGUUCAAUCUUUAGUUAUUUAAUUUUCAAAUCUGUGAUUAGGGUUUGGUUUGGGUUAGGAUUUGAUUAGGGUUUAGGAUUAGGGUUUCGUUAGGAUUUGGUUGAGAAUUAGGAUUUGGUUAGGAUUUGGUUUAGGAUUUAGGAUUUAUUAGGAUUAGGGUAUGAUUUAGGAUUUGGUUUAGGAUUUGGUUUAAGGUUUAGGAUUUAGGAUUUGGUUUAGGAUUUGAUUUAGAGUUUAGGGUUUGGAUUAGGGUUAGGUUUAGUUAGGAUUUGGUUUAGGAUUUAGGAUUUAUUAGGAUUAGGAUAUGGUUUAGGAUUUGAUUUAGGAUUUAGGAUUUAGGGUUUAAGGUUUGGUUUAGGAUUUGAAUUAGGAUUUGGAUUAGGAUUUAGGGUCUGGUUUAGGAUUUGGUUAGGGGUUGGUUUAAUAUUUAGGGUUUGAUUAAGGUUUGAUUAGGAUUUGGUUUAGGGUUUAAGAAUUGUCUAGGGUUUAAUUAAGGUUGGAUUAAGAUUAGGGAUUGGUUAGAAUUUAAGGUUUUAUUAGAUUUUUGUUAGGAUUUGACUAAGUUUUCUUUAAUAUUCUUUUAUAUUUCCUUAGGUUUUCUUUAUGUUUCUUUUAUAACUUCAAUAAAAUUUAAUUGAGCUUACUUAAUGUUUGAUUAUGAUUGU
Molecule: long non-coding RNA, 718 nt
Filed under: Physcomitrium patens
Lineage: Eukaryota; Viridiplantae; Streptophyta; Bryopsida; Funariales; Funariaceae
Description: long non-coding RNA (PPAT_LNC004854)
Source: RNAcentral